Non-coding RNA from Pelobates cultripes (western spadefoot toad), 173 nucleotides. The record is from the annotation of a GenBank genome assembly. Lineage: Eukaryota; Metazoa; Chordata; Amphibia; Anura; Pelobatidae.
CAGCAGACACAUUCCAGCCAAUCAGCAGCUGACCCUCCCUCCCAGACCCUCCCACCUCCUGGACAGCAUCCAUUUUACAUUCAUUGUGAAGCUGCAUUCUUAGUGAGCUGUCCAGGAGGUGGGAGGGUCUGGGAGGGAGGGUCUGCUGCUGAUUGGCUGGAAUGUGUCUGCUG